GAUGAACGCUGGCGGCGUGCCUAAUACAUGCAAGUCGAGCGAACAGACGAGGAGCUUGCUCCUCUGACGUUAGCGGCGGACGGGUGAGUAACACGUGGAUAACCUACCUAUAAGACUGGGAUAACUUCGGGAAACCGGAGCUAAUACCGGAUAAUAUAUUGAACCGCAUGGUUCAAUAGUGAAAGACGGUUUUGCUGUCACUUAUAGAUGGAUCCGCGCCGAAUUAGCUAGUUGGUAAGGUAACGGCUUACCAAGGCAACGAUGCGUAGCCGACCUGAGAGGAUGAUCGGCCACACUGGAACUGAGACACGGUCCAGACUCCUACGGGAGGCAGCAGUAGGGAAUCUUCCACAAUGGGCGAAAGCCUGACGGAGCAACGCCGCGUGAGUGAUGAAGGUCUUCGGAUCGUAAAACUCUGUUAUUAGGGAAGAACAAAUGUGUAAGUAACUAUGCACGUCUUGACGGUACCUAAACAGAAAGCCACGGCUAACUACGUG
RNAcentral lists this ribosomal RNA (497 nucleotides) under uncultured bacterium. RNAcentral describes it as "partial 16S ribosomal RNA". It matches the Rfam family "Bacterial small subunit ribosomal RNA", at positions 28 to 507 of the family's 1533-position model. The record is from RNAcentral.